UACAGAGGGGGCAAGCGUUGUUCGGAAUUACUGGGCGUAAAGGGCGCGUAGGCGGCCUUCUAAGUCGAACGUGAAAUCCCCGGGCUCAACCCGGGAACUGCGUCCGAUACUGGAAGGCUUGAAUCCGGGAGAGGGAGACGGAAUGCCGGGUGUAGUGGUGAAAUGCGUAGAGAUCCGGCGGAACACCGGUGGCGAAGGCGGUCUCCUGGGCCGAGGGCCGACGCUGAGGCGCGAGAGCGUGGGGAGCGAACCGG
This 254-nucleotide ribosomal RNA is filed under the name uncultured bacterium. RNAcentral describes it as "partial 16S ribosomal RNA". It matches the Rfam family "Bacterial small subunit ribosomal RNA", at positions 524 to 776 of the family's 1533-position model. The record is from RNAcentral.